This 694-nucleotide ribosomal RNA is filed under the name Salmonella enterica subsp. enterica serovar Infantis. Its description in RNAcentral is "partial 23S ribosomal RNA". It matches the Rfam family "Bacterial large subunit ribosomal RNA", at positions 2109 to 2802 of the family's 2925-position model. RNAcentral also lists the same sequence under 1 other name. Lineage: Bacteria; Pseudomonadati; Pseudomonadota; Gammaproteobacteria; Enterobacterales; Enterobacteriaceae. The record is from RNAcentral.
GCUUGACACUGAACAUUGAGCCUUGAUGUGUAGGAUAGGUGGGAGGCUUUGAAGCGUGGACGCCAGUCUGCGUGGAGCCGACCUUGAAAUACCACCCUUUAAUGUUUGAUGUUCUAACGUGGACCCGUAAUCCGGGUUGCGGACAGUGUCUGGUGGGUAGUUUGACUGGGGCGGUCUCCUCCUAAAGAGUAACGGAGGAGCACGAAGGUUGGCUAAUCCUGGUCGGACAUCAGGAGGUUAGUGCAAUGGCAUAAGCCAGCUUGACUGCGAGCGUGACGGCGCGAGCAGGUGCGAAAGCAGGUCAUAGUGAUCCGGUGGUUCUGAAUGGAAGGGCCAUCGCUCAACGGAUAAAAGGUACUCCGGGGAUAACAGGCUGAUACCGCCCAAGAGUUCAUAUCGACGGCGGUGUUUGGCACCUCGAUGUCGGCUCAUCACAUCCUGGGGCUGAAGUAGGUCCCAAGGGUAUGGCUGUUCGCCAUUUAAAGUGGUACGCGAGCUGGGUUUAGAACGUCGUGAGACAGUUCGGUCCCUAUCUGCCGUGGGCGCUGGAGAACUGAGGGGGGCUGCUCCUAGUACGAGAGGACCGGAGUGGACGCAUCACUGGUGUUCGGGUUGUCAUGCCAAUGGCACUGCCCGGUAGCUAAAUGCGGAAGAGAUAAGUGCUGAAAGCAUCUAAGCACGAAACUUGCCCCGA